Erinaceus europaeus (western European hedgehog) is the source of this 119-nucleotide non-coding RNA. The record is from Rfam. Lineage: Eukaryota; Metazoa; Chordata; Mammalia; Eulipotyphla; Erinaceidae.
GUCUACGUCCAUACCACCCUGAACACGCCCAAUCUCAUCUGAUCUCGGAAGCUAAGCAGGGUCGGGCCUGGUUAGUACUUGGAUGGGAGACUUUUUGAUUUUCUUUAUAGACAUACCAC